This 153-nucleotide microRNA precursor is filed under the name Paramuricea clavata. Lineage: Eukaryota; Metazoa; Cnidaria; Anthozoa; Malacalcyonacea; Plexauridae. The record is from RNAcentral.
GGGGGGGGGAAUGCGAAGGCGAGAGAAAGAAAGCGAGGAAAAAUGGAAGGGGCGAGAAAGAAAUAGCGAAAUAGAAAAAGAAAUAGCUAUUUCUUUCUCGCCCCUCCCAUUUUUCCUCGCUCUCUUUCUCUCGCCUUCGCAUCCCCCCUGGCU